GGGCUUUAGGUGUUGUCGAGCUUGUUUUCGAGUCUAAUGGUAUUAUUUUAAGCGAUUGUCACUAUUGUCCAUAUUUCUUGAUGAAUAUAAUCUCUGUAGGUCUUUUGAUCAAAGAUAGUUAUAGUUUAUCAAUAAAGAAUGAUUAUUGUGAUAUCAUUAUGAAAGAUGUUAUAAUAAUGCAAGGAUAAUUAAGAAAUGGCAUCUAUGUAUUGUCACAGCCUAUGAGUGUACUGUACACUCCAAAUAAAUAUCCUAAGUUAGAUAAUGUCACAGACGUCUACCUUUAAUAUUGCAG
RNAcentral lists this long non-coding RNA (295 nucleotides) under Elaeis guineensis (African oil palm). RNAcentral describes it as "long non-coding RNA (EGUI_LNC074587)". The record is from RNAcentral. Lineage: Eukaryota; Viridiplantae; Streptophyta; Magnoliopsida; Arecales; Arecaceae.